Molecule: ribosomal RNA, 344 nt
Filed under: uncultured bacterium
Lineage: Bacteria
Description: bacterial SSU rRNA
Rfam family: Bacterial small subunit ribosomal RNA
Source: RNAcentral
AGGGUUUGAUUAUGGCUCAGGAUGAACGCUGGCGGCGUGCUUAACACAUGCAAGUCGAGCGAAGCAGUUAAGUUGAUUUCUUCGGAUUGAUUCUUAACUGACUGAGCGGCGGACGGGUGAGUAACGCGUGGGUGACCUGCCCCAUACCGGGGGAUAACAGCUGGAAACGGCUGCUAAUACCGCAUAAGCGCACAGAGCUGCAUGGCUCGGUGUGAAAAACUCCGGUGGUAUGGGAUGGGCCCGCGUCUGAUUAGGCAGUUGGCGGGGUAACGGCCCACCAAACCGACGAUCAGUAGCCGGCCUGAGAGGGCGACCGGCCACAUUGGGACUGAGACACGGCCCAA